RNAcentral lists this ribosomal RNA (407 nucleotides) under uncultured bacterium. Its description in RNAcentral is "bacterial SSU rRNA". It matches the Rfam family "Bacterial small subunit ribosomal RNA", at positions 976 to 1380 of the family's 1533-position model. The record is from RNAcentral.
AGGUCUUGACAUCCUUACGACCUCCCUAGAGAUAGGGAUUUCCCCUUCGGGGGACGGAAGUGACAGGUGGUGCAUGGUUGUCGUCAGCUCGUGUCGUGAGAUGUUGGGUUAAGUCCCGCAACGAGCGCAACCCUUGAUCUUAGUUGCCAGCAUUCAGUUGGGCACUCUAAGGUGACUGCCGGUGACAAACCGGAGGAAGGUGGGGAUGACGUCAAAUCAUCAUGCCCCUUAUGACCUGGGCUACACACGUGCUACAAUGGAUGGUACAAAGGGCAGCGAAACCGCGAGGUCGAGCCAAUCCCAUAAAACCAUUCUCAGUUCGGAUUGCAGGCUGCAACUCGCCUGCAUGAAGCCGGAAUCGCUAGUAAUCGCGGAUCAGCAUGCCGCGGUGAAUACGUUCCCGGGCC